ACGGGAAAGGUCUUAGAAGGGACUUAACGGGAGGAGGUGGAGCCAAUGAAAUCGAAAGAUGUUUGUCAAUAUGCUUUCUACAUGGAGAAGAAGAUCUUGGACUAUCACGACCUUUACAAUUAUUUUUCCAAAUAGGAGGAACAUUAGACGGAGAAGGCUUUAUGAUAGACUUGUGACGAGGCGAAGCUAAUGGGAUGGGUGAACGACGAUGACCACGCCUUUCAUAUGGAGUACUAAUAAUCAACUCAUAAUCUCGAGUUAACGAGUAAGCGUGAUCAAGAGUAGUGACACCUCGAAGGAAAAGCUCACGCCUAAGAUCAUCUCUCAGACCUUGGCUAAACCUACUCAAAGUCGUAGUCUCAUCCUCAAUUAAAUGACAUUUGAUUCGAAAUUCCUCAAAUUCUGCGAUAUACUCAGUCACUAGUUGAUUUCCUUGUUUAAGGGCAUUCCAUUGAGUAAGAAUUUCAAAAUUAUCUCGUUCUCGCUCACGAAUCUGAUCCCUAUACCUACGAUCGUGUCUAAAGCAUUUUUGAUCACCAUGAUGAUGAUGAUAAUGUCUAUUAUGGGACACUUUGGAUUUAUGAACGUC
RNAcentral lists this long non-coding RNA (589 nucleotides) under Olea europaea (common olive). RNAcentral describes it as "long non-coding RNA (OEUR_LNC000270)". The record is from RNAcentral. Lineage: Eukaryota; Viridiplantae; Streptophyta; Magnoliopsida; Lamiales; Oleaceae.